AUGGGUUUGAAGCUCAGGGUCUGGGGAGCUGAGGAGGGAGAUUCCAGGAAGAAAAAGACGCCAAAUUUCAGCUGUCCCAAGACUCUGGAACCUUCCGCCUCCACCCUCCUUUGCUUUCUGUCAAUCGAUCAAUACAGCCAUAGCAAAGAGAAAUUGUCUUUUAAAGUGGUGGGGAAGGAGGUCCAGGUGGAGCGUUCCUAUGAAUCAAAACAGUGCCCUCUCCGAAGGACGAGGAAACAAAGAAGGAGCUUUGAAGACCGGCCUCAGACCCUGCAGUGGGGAGAAGCGGCCAGUUCCGGGAGCUCGAUGUGCAGGUGUCAUCUAUCACAGGCAGAACCCCGAGGAUCAACUUCUGCUAUGACCUGCUCUGCUUCCCCACCACUGAAAUCUACAGAGGGAGGAAGAACCUCCCAUCCCUCCCUCCAGACCCGGGUCUUCUCCUGGCAGGGACGCUUGCAUCUUCCCCAGUGACAGGCAUGAACUGGAGAUCCCAUGGGGGAGCCUCAUCCUGGUUCUCCAGCUGCUUGUGACGCAGUCCCGGUCUCUGCUCAGAUGUGCUUAGGACCGGUCCCUCAGCCUCUCCCAUUUGUUGGUCAGAUUCCCUUGUCCCCCUUGGAUAAGCACGUCCUCAUUGCCGGCUGCCCCCAGCAGGCAAGAGCUAGGGGCGGGGGUGUUGGUGCGGGACGGUUGGGCAGUG
Molecule: long non-coding RNA, 697 nt
Filed under: Fukomys damarensis (Damara mole-rat)
Lineage: Eukaryota; Metazoa; Chordata; Mammalia; Rodentia; Bathyergidae
Description: lncRNA (ENSFDAG00000029078.1)
Source: RNAcentral